CGCGGGUCCAAGCCUGUAGCCCCAAAUCGGAUAAUCUCUGCAGCUGAUAACAAGCAAAAGAGAGAAGCCAGGCAACAGACAUAAUAAAGAAGAAAACAACUCCGAGG
This is a non-coding RNA of Myotis brandtii (Brandt's bat), 107 nucleotides long. Lineage: Eukaryota; Metazoa; Chordata; Mammalia; Chiroptera; Vespertilionidae. The record is from Rfam.